Molecule: ribosomal RNA, 253 nt
Filed under: uncultured bacterium
Lineage: Bacteria
Description: partial 16S ribosomal RNA
Rfam family: Bacterial small subunit ribosomal RNA
Source: RNAcentral
UACGUAGGGUGCAAGCGUUGUCCGGAAUUAUUGGGCGUAAAGGGCUCGUAGGCGGUCCAUCGCGUCGGGAGUGAAAAGCUGGGGCUCAACCCCAGUCCUGCUUCCGAUACGGGUGGACUAGAGGUAGGCAGGGGAGAACGGAAUUCCUGGUGUAGCGGUGAAAUGCGCAGAUAUCAGGAGGAACACCGAUGGCGAAGGCAGGUCUCUGGGCCACUACUGACGCUGAGAAGCGAAAGCAUGGGGAGCGAACAGG